UCCCCUGUAGCUCAGCUGGUAGAGCAUCUGGCUGUUAACCAGAGUGUCCGAGGUUCGAAUCCUCGCGGGGGAGCCA
RNAcentral lists this transfer RNA (76 nucleotides) under Candidatus Omnitrophota bacterium. RNAcentral describes it as "tRNA-Asn". It matches the Rfam family "tRNA". Rfam says of the family: Transfer RNA (tRNA) molecules are approximately 80 nucleotides in length. Their secondary structure includes four short double-helical elements and three loops (D, anti-codon, and T loops). Lineage: Bacteria; Pseudomonadati; Candidatus Omnitrophota. The record is from RNAcentral.